GCACUGCUGAGGAGUCCCAUACUCGGACGAAACGGCCGUCCAGUAC
This 46-nucleotide non-coding RNA is filed under the name Schistosoma margrebowiei. The record is from RNAcentral. Lineage: Eukaryota; Metazoa; Platyhelminthes; Trematoda; Strigeidida; Schistosomatidae.